This 337-nucleotide ribosomal RNA is filed under the name uncultured bacterium. Its description in RNAcentral is "bacterial SSU rRNA". It matches the Rfam family "Bacterial small subunit ribosomal RNA", at positions 157 to 507 of the family's 1533-position model. The record is from RNAcentral.
GGAAGAUUAAUACCGCAUAAGAUUGUAGCUUCGCAUGAAGUAGCAAAUUAAAGGAUUUAUUCGCUAUGAGAUGGACCCGCGGCGCAUUAGCUAGUUGGCGAGGUAACGGCUCACCAAGGCGACGAUGCGUAGCCGACCUGAGAGGGUGAUCGGCCACAUUGGAACUGAGACACGGUCCAGACUCCUACGGGGAGGCAGCAGGUGGGGAAUAUUGCACAAUGGGGGAAACCCUGAUGCAGCAACGCCGCGUGAGUGAUGACGGUCUUCGGAUUGUAAAGCUCUGUCUUUAGGGACGAUAAUGACGGUACCUAAGGAGGAAGCCACGGCUAACUACGUG